Molecule: non-coding RNA, 2047 nt
Organism: Parasteatoda tepidariorum (common house spider)
Lineage: Eukaryota; Metazoa; Arthropoda; Arachnida; Araneae; Theridiidae
Source: RefSeq, a predicted model, not a curated record
CCUUACAUUUUCAUGAAAUUCUCUUGUCUGUGUAUUAUAGUAUUGUGUAUGCUAUUUAAAGGUUGUAUUGAAAUCCUAUUGUUUAAUAGACUAAAAAUAUGUUCUUUACGUUAAGGAUGCAUAAUUUUUUAUGGGUUUUACUUUUUAUUUAAUUCUUAAAAGCUUUUCCAUUCUAUGUUCACAAUCUACGAAAAAUUAUUCUUUUUCCAACUAUUGCAGUAUUUCACAAUUUUUUUCUUCUGUUGAAUAAAACAGAACAAAAAGCACAUAAUUAAGAAGAGGAGUUAUAAAAUUUUCUUUAAUUAAUAUAAGUCUAAUUUUAAAUAAAUAUAUUUUUUAACCUUUUUUCCCCUAUAAUUUGUCAUAUUUGUAAUAUUUUUUUUAAAAAAAUAGUCCAUUUUCGACAUUGCAAAGAAAAGGGAUUUUUCAAAAGAUAAACGUUUUUCAUUUUAUGUAGCUUUUCUACUAUUUAUUUUAAAAUAUUUUUUAUAAUUAAUGUAAGGUUAAUAAAGGAUAUAUUUAAAUGUUUAUGCAUGUACAAGUGGAUUACAACCUAGAAACAUUUAAAAAAAUCUUUCAUGAGCCUUUUUGAAAUUUUAAAUGUUUUAAUUUUUUAUUACAUUUAACUAGUAAGUUGUCCUGUUUUAACAUCUACAUACAUAUUUCUUCAAUCUUUCUGUACCUCUUUUUAAAUUAUUUCCGGCUGUAGCCACUCAUAUAAAGGAAGUCUAUAUGAGUAAAAUAAAAUCAUGUACAUGUUUGGUGAACUUAGGUCGUUUAGGUCUCUUUAAUAAAUAGGUAUCUUGUGAAAACCGGAGAAAAGAAACCUUAGUUGAAACGAGAGUGUAAUUUAUUCUCUAGUUUAUAUCUGGUAGAGACUGGGGUGCAGGUGCCUAAUCCUUCAUAGCAAUGUACAUCAUGCUAAUCAGGCAUAUUCUUGAAUAUGAAUUUCCAGUACCUCUCCUUCCGAACUUCUUAAAUUAGAUCAUGUUCAAUCAAGUGCAGCUGCAUCAUCACAGGCUUAAGAAACAGCUGCCUGAAUGCUGUAGCGCUUAAUAAGAAUGAUUUACCUCCCUUAAGUCUUCUAAGAGAAUCAAACGUGGUAAAAUACUUCAAACUAAAGUGAUGAAAAUCAAAAUUGAACCUCUGCCUAUUUAUCUGAAUGAAAAAACAGUCAAAGAUUAAAAAAGAGCAGCCCUUUCGGUCAGAGGUAUAAUAUAAAGGUCUUUAACAAUCCUGUUGAAUUUUCUUCUCUGAAGCCAUAUGUGUGUCUGCUUGAAUGCUGAUCACAAUUUUUCUUUCAUUUUGAGCUUUGGUAUGUAUUUGAGCUAAUGCUUCUGGUGACAUCUGGAUCCUGACUUACAGUUGCAGUUCCUUACAAAACUUAAAGGAUUAGAAUCUGGUUACUAAGCGUGUAGGCACAGAAAUAAUCAAAUUGAAAUACCGCACCAAAACUGGAGUUGUCCUCUUACAAUGGAUCUCGUCACAUGUUGGUAUGCCUGGUAAUGAAGUCGCAGAUAGCCUGGCUAAAAGGGGCACCAUCUGACUACCUCAUUAUCUAUCAAGAUAUUUUCUCUCUGAAGAAAAACUUCAAUAGGCAACUAAGGUUAAAACCUCCUGUUCGCCACUGGUUUGACAGAAAAAAACCCUGGUGGUUCUCUAGAGUUCAAGGGUCAGUUUCAUAAUCCAUCAAUGCCCAUUUAAAAUAGAAUUAAGGCUCAAAAUCUUCUCAACAUGUAGCAAGUAAAAAUUGAAACCUGCUUCCCUGUCACACAUCAUUGAUUGUCUGGAAUUUUCCUUUGAGGACAUUCUCUUUUGACCAAUUUUGGUCUGUGACUUUGCCAAAGAGUUUGGACUCAUGGGUUUGAUAUAGCUGAGGCUAUAUUGUGAAAGAUUAGAAACAACAGCAAAACUUCUCAUGAAUGUUGCUAAAUGCAAAUUGGGGGGAAAACUUUUUAUAUCCAGUGCUUAGUUAUAUAUAUAUCCCUAUUAAAAGUCUGGCAUAAAUUAUCUCAGAAAUCUAAAUUUAUAGUGGCCCAUUGGUUUU